AGUGAACGCUGGCGGUAGGCCUAACACAUGCAAGUCGAACGGCAGCACAGGAGAGCUUGCUCUCUGGGUGGCGAGUGGCGGACGGGUGAGGAAUACAUCGGAAUCUACUCUGUCGUGGGGGAUAACGUAGGGAAACUUACGCUAAUACCGCAUACGACCUACGGGUGAAAGCAGGGGACCUCCGGGCCUUGCGCGAUUGAAUGAGCCGAUGUCGGAUUAGCUAGUUGGCGGGGUAAAGGCCCACCAAGGCGACGAUCCGUAGCUGGUCUGAGAGGAUGAUCAGCCACACUGGAACUGAGACACGGUCCAGACUCCUACGGGAGGCAGCAGUGGGGAAUAUUGGACAAUGGGCGCAAGCCUGAUCCAGCCAUACCGCGUGGGUGAAGAAGGCCUUCGGGUUGUAAAGCCCUUUUGUUGGGAAAGAAAUCCAGCUGGCUAAUACCCGGUUGGGAUGACGGUACCCAAAGAAUAAGCACCGGCUAACUUCGUGACAGCAGCCGCCGUAA
RNAcentral lists this ribosomal RNA (506 nucleotides) under uncultured bacterium. Its description in RNAcentral is "partial 16S ribosomal RNA". It matches the Rfam family "Bacterial small subunit ribosomal RNA", at positions 29 to 523 of the family's 1533-position model. The record is from RNAcentral.